UACCCUGGUAUAAGAUAAGAAGGAAAUUAGUAAGGCUGAAAUUUAAAAUUUUUGGCGGUUAAUUUUUAUUUAGAGGAGCUUGUUAUUAGAAUUUACUCUUUAAAUUUUAUUUAUGAAGGUUUAUUUAUCUCCGUUAUAAGAUGAAAGAUUGAGAAAUUUAAAGAUUAUAUUUCAGGUCAAGAUGUAGCUAUUAUAAGAUAAAAUUAGCUACAUUUAUGAAAUAAUGGAGAGUAGUAUGAAAAGUAUAGGAAAUUGAAUUUAGUUGUAAUAAAUUUUAGAAUAAAUUUAUGAAAAUUAGGAAUUAAUGUACAUAUUGCCCGUCACUUC
This 327-nucleotide ribosomal RNA is filed under the name Iguarassua sp. MZSP 73071. Its description in RNAcentral is "partial small subunit ribosomal RNA". The record is from RNAcentral. Lineage: Eukaryota; Metazoa; Arthropoda; Arachnida; Opiliones; Stygnidae.